RNAcentral lists this transfer RNA (72 nucleotides) under Bos taurus (domestic cattle). It matches the Rfam family "tRNA". From Rfam's summary of the family: Transfer RNA (tRNA) molecules are approximately 80 nucleotides in length. Their secondary structure includes four short double-helical elements and three loops (D, anti-codon, and T loops). RNAcentral also lists the same sequence under 2 other names. Lineage: Eukaryota; Metazoa; Chordata; Mammalia; Artiodactyla; Bovidae. The record is from Rfam by way of RNAcentral.
UCCAUGGUGGCUCAGAUGGUAAAGCAUCUGCCUACAAUGCAGGAGACCUGGGUUCAAUCCCUGGGUCAGGAA